Tachysurus fulvidraco (yellow catfish) is the source of this 402-nucleotide long non-coding RNA. RefSeq lists it as uncharacterized. The transcript is spliced from 2 exons. The record is from RefSeq and is a predicted model, not a curated record. NCBI's taxonomy places the organism in Eukaryota, Metazoa, Chordata, Actinopteri, Siluriformes, Bagridae.
UGAUCUCCUGCGCCACCUUCUGGUACAAAUCCUGACUGUUAAGCACCAUAGACUCCAGGAUGGCUAGAGAUCUCUGCAGCACGGCAGAGUCUGUGGAUGACUUGCACACAAAACAUGCAAUCUGCAGGGGAAACAAAAAACACCUUGGUGGAUCUGUCAGAGCCACACAAUAAUGUUUCCUGUUCCUGCCCGUCAGGGAUGGAUGAUGAAGAAAUACUGUCCAGACACACAUGCUGGAGGGGGGGUGGCACAGCAUGGCAUCACUCUUCAAAUAAGCCUUGCCACACUAGCACUGAUUGUAAUUUUGGCACUUGUUAGAAAACAUAUUGACAUGCUGGUGGUUUGUAUUUGUAUGUGCUUGUGGGUGGAGAUUAAUUAAAUAAAAAAAGAGCUAAAUUCGAA